RNAcentral lists this ribosomal RNA (254 nucleotides) under uncultured bacterium. Its description in RNAcentral is "partial 16S ribosomal RNA". It matches the Rfam family "Bacterial small subunit ribosomal RNA", at positions 524 to 776 of the family's 1533-position model. The record is from RNAcentral.
UACGUAGGGGGCGAGCGUUGUCCGGAUUUAUUGGGCGUAAAACGCUUGUAGGCGGCCACCGCGCGUCGGACGUGAAAUCGCCCGGCUCAACUGGGCGGGGUCGGCGGAUACGGCCGAGCUGGAGCAAGCUAGGGGGUAAUGGAAUUCCAGGUGUAGCGGUGAAAUGCGUAGAUAUCUGGAGGAAUACCGGUGGCGAAGGCGGCAUCCUGGACCGGCAUUGACGCUGAGGAGCGAAAGCCAGGGGAGCAAACGGG